AGGACGAACGCUGGCGGCGUGCCUAACACAUGCAAGUCGAACGGGAAAGGGGAGCAAUCCCUGAGUAUAGUGGCGACCGGGUGAGUAACACGUGACUACCUGCCCUUGAGUGGGGGAUAACCUCGGGAAACCGAGGCUAAUACCGCAUAAUAUCGCAAGAUCAAAGGAGCAAUCCGCUUUUGGAGGGGUCGCGGCUGAUUAGCUAGUUGGUGAGGUAAUGGCUCACCAAGGCGAAGAUCGGUA
RNAcentral lists this ribosomal RNA (243 nucleotides) under uncultured bacterium. RNAcentral describes it as "partial small subunit ribosomal RNA". It matches the Rfam family "Bacterial small subunit ribosomal RNA", at positions 26 to 285 of the family's 1533-position model. The record is from RNAcentral.